GUAGGUGAACCUGCGGAAGGAUCAUUAUUGAAUCCUUAGGAUGUUGCUGGCCUUUCGGGGGCAUGUGCACUCCGCCUUUCAAUACACCUGUGAACUUAUUGUAGGUGCAGAUUGUGCCUAUGUUUUUAACACUCUCAAAAUGUAUAUCGAAUGUCUAAAUAUGGCCUUUGAUGGUCAACAAACUUAAUACAACUUUCAACAAUGGAUCUCUUGGUUCUC
This 219-nucleotide unclassified non-coding RNA is filed under the name rhizosphere metagenome. RNAcentral describes it as "partial ribosomal RNA internal transcribed spacer region". The record is from RNAcentral.